AUGCAAGUCGUGCGAGAAAGUAUCUUCGGAUAUGAGUAGAGCGGCGGACGGGUGAGUAACGCGUAGGAAUCUACCUAGUAGAAGGGGAUAGCCCGGGGAAACCCGGAUUAAUACCGUAUACCUCCUUCGGGAGAAAGAAGGCCUCUCUUUGAAGCUUUCGCUAUUAGAUGAGCCUGCGUAAGAUUAGCUUGUUGGUGAGGUAAAGGCUCACCAAGGCGACGAUCUUUAGCUGGUCUGAGAGGACGAUCAGCCACAUUGGGACUGAGACACGGCCCAGACUCCUACGGGAGGCAGCAGUGGGGAAUAUUGGACAAUGGGCGCAAGCCUGAUCCAGCCAUACCGCGUGUGUGAAGAAGGCCUUCGGGUUGUAAAGCACUUUAAGCAGGGAGAAAAAGUUAUAAGUUAAUACCUUAUAACCGUGAUGUUACCUGCAGAAUAAGCACCGGCUAAUUCCGUGCCAGCAGCCGCGGUAAUACGGAAGGUGCAAGCGUUAAUCGGAAUUACUGGGCGUAAAGCGCGCGUAGGUGGUUUGUUAAGUUGGAUGUGAAAGCCCUGGGCUCAACCUAGGAACUGCAUCCAAAACUAACUCACUAGAGUACGAUAGAGGGAGGUAGAAUUCAUAGUGUAGCGGUGGAAUGCGUAGAUAUUAUGAAGAAUACCAGUGGCGAAGGCGGCCUCCUGGAUCUGUACUGACACUGAGGUGCGAAAGCGUGGGUAGCGAACAGGAUUAGAUACCCUGGUAGUCCACGCCGUAAACGAUGACAACUAGCUGUUGGAAGACAAUGUCUUUCAGUGGCGCAGCUAACGUUUUAAGUUGUCCGCCUGGGGAGUACGGCCGCAAGGCUAAAACUCAAAUGAAUUGACGGGGACCCGCACAAGCGGUGGAGCAUGUGGUUUAUUCGAUGCAACGCGAAAACCUUACCUACUCUUGACAUACUUGAAGCUCUUGUAAUGAGAGUGUGCCUUUUGAGCCAAGAUACAGGUGCUGCAUGGCUGUCGUCAGCUCGUGUCGUGAGAUGUUCCGUUAAGUCGGAUAACGAGCGCAAUC
RNAcentral lists this ribosomal RNA (1048 nucleotides) under uncultured Gammaproteobacteria bacterium. RNAcentral's name for it is "bacterial SSU rRNA". It matches the Rfam family "Bacterial small subunit ribosomal RNA", at positions 55 to 1103 of the family's 1533-position model. Lineage: Bacteria; Pseudomonadati; Pseudomonadota; Gammaproteobacteria. The record is from RNAcentral.